GACUUUAUUUUUUAUACAAUACCCAGGUAAAAAAGUAGUAUACUUUAGUGUGUUAGAAAUAUGAUUAAAGUACAUGAAGUAUAAAGCAAGUAUGCUUACACUUUUUGUACUUUAUGUAAAGUAUGUUUAAUGUGUACUUUUAGAAAGUGUACUUCAAAGUAGAUGUUAUUAAGUUCAACUUCAGUGUACUAAAAUUAAAUAUACUUAUUGUGCAAUAUUCAAAGUGUUUUUGUAAUGUACUUUUUAAAAGUGUACUUUGUUGUUAGUGUAUUUUAAAUGGUAAAGAUGUUUAUUUAGUUUAAGUGUAUUAAAUUGCUAAUACUUAGAGUUGGAAUAUAGUGUACUUAUGGAAAGUAUAUUUUUUGGUAGGCCUAAUACAUUGUUUGUAUAGUUUCAUAGUCAUAGUAAUAAGUUCAACUUCAGUGUACUAAAAUUAAAUAUACUUAUUGUGCAAUAUUCAAAGU
Long non-coding RNA from Alosa sapidissima (American shad), 464 nucleotides. RefSeq lists it as uncharacterized. The record is from RefSeq and is a predicted model, not a curated record. NCBI's taxonomy places the organism in Eukaryota, Metazoa, Chordata, Actinopteri, Clupeiformes, Clupeidae. The transcript is spliced from 4 exons.